RNAcentral lists this ribosomal RNA (505 nucleotides) under uncultured bacterium. RNAcentral describes it as "partial 16S ribosomal RNA". It matches the Rfam family "Bacterial small subunit ribosomal RNA", at positions 28 to 507 of the family's 1533-position model. The record is from RNAcentral.
GACGAACGCUGGCGGCGUGCCUAAUACAUGCAAGUAGAACGCACAGUUUAUACCGUAGCUUGCUACACCAUAGACUGUGAGUUGCGAACGGGUGAGUAACGCGUAGGUAACCUGCCUGGUAGCGGGGGAUAACUAUUGGAAACGAUAGCUAAUACCGCAUAAUAUUAAUUAUUGCAUGAUAAUUAAUUGAAAGGUGCAAUUGCACCACUACCAGAUGGACCUGCGUUGUAUUAGCUAGUAGGUGAGGUAACGGCUCACCUAGGCGACGAUACAUAGCCGACCUGCGAGGGUGAUCGGCCACGCUGGGACUGAGACACGGCCCAGACUCCUGCGGGAGGCAGCAGUAGGGAAUCUUCGGCAAUGGACGAAAGUCUGACCGAGCAACGCCGCGUGAGUGAAGAAGGUUUUCGGAUCGUAAAGCUCUGUUGUAAGAGAAGAACGGGUGUGAGAGUGGAAAGUUCACACUGUGACGGUAUCUUACCAGAAAGGGACGGCUAACUACGUG